CAUGAUCAAGGAUGAAACCCUUUCUAUUAGUGACUGCUGGAUGAAGCUUGCGGAUAUGGGACUGAGAUCAAAA
Trichomycterus rosablanca is the source of this 73-nucleotide small nucleolar RNA. RefSeq annotates it as small nucleolar RNA SNORD99. NCBI's taxonomy places the organism in Eukaryota, Metazoa, Chordata, Actinopteri, Siluriformes, Trichomycteridae. The transcript has a single exon. The record is from RefSeq and is a predicted model, not a curated record.